GUCUUAUUGAAGUAUUAAUAGUAGGUUUGUUCUGCCCAUUGAAAAUUUUUUAAAGGCUGCAGUAAUUUGACUGUACAAAGGUAGCAUAAUCAAUAGUUUUUUAAUUGAAAACUUGUAUGAAUGAAUUAAUAAAAUAUUGAUUGUCUCAAAUUUAAGUAUUGAAAUUAAAUUAAAAGUUAAAAUUCUUUUAUUUUUUUAUUAGACGAUAAGACCCUAAGAAUUUUAUUGUUUAUAUUUUUAUUAAUAUUAUUAUUAAGUUAAUAAUUUAAUUUAAAUAAUUUUAUUGGGAGGGUAAUUAAAAAUUUGAACUUUAAUUUAUUAAAUACUUUGAUAAUAGAAUUAAAUGAUUAUUAUUAUAGUUGUAAGAAUUAAUUACCUUAGGGAUAACAGCGUAAUAAUUUUGGAAAGUUCAUAUUUAUAAAAUUGUUUGCGACCUCGAUGUUGAAUUAAAAUAAAAAUUAAAUGGAGAUAUUUAAAUUUUUAGUCUGUUCGACUAUUAAAAUUUUACA
Molecule: ribosomal RNA, 509 nt
Filed under: Mischocyttarus deceptus
Lineage: Eukaryota; Metazoa; Arthropoda; Insecta; Hymenoptera; Vespidae
Description: partial 16S ribosomal RNA
Rfam family: Bacterial large subunit ribosomal RNA (bases 383-509)
Source: RNAcentral